This 553-nucleotide ribosomal RNA is filed under the name uncultured eukaryote. RNAcentral describes it as "eukaryotic LSU rRNA". The stretch from base 149 to 301 matches the Rfam family "5.8S ribosomal RNA". The record is from RNAcentral.
UGCGGAGGAUCAUUAUCAAGUCUGCUUCUUGCAGCAAAACUAUUGUGUGUGAACGUUACUUUGAACCGUGUGGUGGUCUUUCGGGACUGCCAUACGGAUUUUAACCCAACCAUAAAACUUUUAUACUGAAGUUAUUGUAAACCUAGAAAACUUUUAGCAAUGAAUCUCUAGGCUCUUGCAUCGAUGAAGAACGCAGCGAAUCGCGAUAUGUAACGUGAAUUGCAGAAUUCGUGAAUCAUCAAAUCUUUGAACGCACGUUGCACUGCUUGGAAUUCCAGGCAGUAUGUCUGUUUGAGCAUCUUAACCAUAUACUCGAGCGAAGCAAUUCGCUUGGACUUGAGAAAUUGCCUGUAAAGGCACUUCUUGUAACAUAUCGAUACCAUGGGAUGUGGUAUCAUUGAUGCAGCCAAGGUAUUGAUUGAGCUGGCGGAUCAGAGUUACGACUUUUGAUUUUGCAUGUGCUCUCAGUGAUCGUGGUCGGUGUCAACUACAACAAGAUCUCAAAUCAGAUAAGACUACCCGCUGAACUUAAGCAUAUCAAUAAGCGGAGGAA